This 422-nucleotide ribosomal RNA is filed under the name uncultured bacterium. RNAcentral's name for it is "partial 16S ribosomal RNA". It matches the Rfam family "Bacterial small subunit ribosomal RNA", at positions 360 to 774 of the family's 1533-position model. The record is from RNAcentral.
AAUAUUGGACAAUGGGGGCAACGCUGAUCUAGCCAUGCCGCGUGUGUGAAGAAGGUCUUCGGAUUGUAAAGCACUUUACGUUGGGAGGAAGGGCUUUAGGCUAAUACCCUGAAGUUUUGUCGUUACCAACAGAAUAAGCACCUGCUAACUCUGUUCCAGCAGCCGCAGUAAUACAGAGGGUGCAAGCGUUAAUCGGAAUUACUGGACGUAAAGCGCGCGUAGGUGGUUCAGUAAGAUGGGUAUGAAAUCCCCGGGCUUAACCUGGGAACUGCUUUCAUAACUGCUGAGCUAGAGUACGGUAGAGGGUAGUGGAAUUUCCUGUGUAGCGGUGAAAUGCGUAGAUAUAGGAAGGAACACCAGUGGCGAAGGCGACUACCUGGACUGAUACUGACACUGAGGUGCGAAAGCGUGGGGAGCAAACA